Molecule: long non-coding RNA, 436 nt
Organism: Hibiscus syriacus
Lineage: Eukaryota; Viridiplantae; Streptophyta; Magnoliopsida; Malvales; Malvaceae
Exons: 3
Source: RefSeq, a predicted model, not a curated record
AGCUCAAUACAAUAACACAAAUAUUACUGCUCUUUUUUUCUCUUUCUCUUCGGCCUUUGCUUUCGCAAGCUAUAACGCCGACCCUUUUCUUUUUCCCCCUUCUCUCUCUUUCUACUCUUUCAAAACAACGAAAUUCCCAGAAAGUCUUUCAAUCUCGUCACCGUCGUCAAUGGGAAAAACAAAGCUUCGAUUACGUUUGUAAUUCAGGCAUUCGUAGGAAAUUUUCUGGUUUCGGGUGUUUGACCUUUUUUUUAAUUAUGUUUUGGGAAAUUUAAUUCAUUGUUAUAGUAUUAUCUUUCCUUCUCUAUGCUCUGAAACAGUUUUAGAGUGAGAAAGCUCAAUCUGAAACGAAUCUCUGUUCCAUUACAUUCAAUCCACCCAACCCAAAUUUUUUCUUCUUCUUCUCCGAUUUGUCAUCGGUUUGAUGUUUCGAUUU